GAUCGACUUUGGCUUCGAACGGUAUAUAUAUUAUCUUCGAAUUGUGUAGUUUGCUCUAAGCAUGUAACCGAAACUUUUAUUUGGCAUAAAUAAUUGUUUUCAUCAAGCUAGAAACUUUUAUUCCAUACCAAUUUAAGAGCAACAAAAUUGAACUUUGGAAAUUUAAUUUAAUUUUUUUUAGUAUAUAAUCUUCUUACAUUAAUAUAUUUUGAAAUUGAAUACUAACUGAAAUUACUAGUUUUAAUUAAUAUGUUUGUGAAAUUACUAGAAUCUGAAUAUAAUUUUGCCUAAAUUGUCUCAAUUCGAAGAUCAAUCGCAGGAACAAAGAGCUAAAGGAAAAGUAAAUUAUGAAAAUUGUUUCUUGUUUUCGGUUACGAAGGAAAAAAAAAAAGUUCUUGUUCAACUAACAUCUAUGAUUACAAUUUAUAUUUUCCGAUCACAUUUAGUUAGUAUUUUUUCGUUAUUUCAAAUAAUUUUAGUUGUUAAAAUUUUGUCUCUUCCUCAAUACAAAAAACUUUGGAAACAAGGAAC
Molecule: long non-coding RNA, 531 nt
Filed under: Capsella grandiflora
Lineage: Eukaryota; Viridiplantae; Streptophyta; Magnoliopsida; Brassicales; Brassicaceae
Description: long non-coding RNA (CGRA_LNC000028)
Source: RNAcentral